This 253-nucleotide ribosomal RNA is filed under the name uncultured bacterium. RNAcentral describes it as "partial 16S ribosomal RNA". It matches the Rfam family "Bacterial small subunit ribosomal RNA", at positions 524 to 776 of the family's 1533-position model. The record is from RNAcentral.
UACGGAGGGUGCAAGGGUUGUCCGGAAUCACUGGGCGUAAAGGGCGCGUAGGCGGCUCAUGAAGGCUGUGGUGAAAGUCCGGGGCUCAACCUCGGAUCGGCCGUGGCGACUCGUGGGCUGGAGCACUGUAGAGGCGGGUGGAAUUCCGGGUGUAGCGGUGGAAUGCGUAGAGAUCCGGAAGAACACCAGUGGCGAAGGCGGCCCGCUGGGCAGUGGCUGACGCUGAGGCGCGACAGCGUGGGGAGCAAACAGG